GACCCGGUGGUGCAGCGGUUAGCACGCCUGUAUUCUAUACAAAGAUCGGCUGGAGACCUUUAAUCAGGAGAUCCUCGUUCGACUCGGGGUCGGGUCA
This is a non-coding RNA of Mycena crocata, 97 nucleotides long. NCBI's taxonomy places the organism in Eukaryota, Fungi, Basidiomycota, Agaricomycetes, Agaricales, Mycenaceae. The record is from the annotation of a GenBank genome assembly.